RNAcentral lists this ribosomal RNA (502 nucleotides) under uncultured bacterium. RNAcentral describes it as "partial 16S ribosomal RNA". It matches the Rfam family "Bacterial small subunit ribosomal RNA", at positions 28 to 507 of the family's 1533-position model. The record is from RNAcentral.
GACGAACGCUGGCGGCGUGCCUAAUACAUGCCAGUCGAACGAACCGCGACUAAGUGCUUGCACUAAGUCAAGGUGAGUGGCGAACGGGUGAGUAACACGUGGGUAACCUACCUCAUAGUGGGGGAUAACAGUCGGAAACGACUGCUAAUACCGCAUAGGACAUAGGAUCACAUGAUCCAGUGAGGAAAGGUGGCGCAAGCUAUCGCUAAGAGAUGGACCCGCGGUGCAUUAGCUAGUUGGUAGGGUAAAGGCCUACCAAGGCGAUGAUGCAUAGCCGACCUGAGAGGGUGAUCGGCCACAUUGGGACUGAGACACGGCCCAAACUCCUACGGGAGGCAGCAGUAGGGAAUCUUCCGCAAUGGACGCAAGUCUGACGGAGCAACGCCGCGUGAGUGAAGAAGGUCUUCGGAUCGUAAAGCCCUGUUGUUAGAGAAGAACAGCGCAUAGAGUAACUGCUAUGCGUGUGACGGUAGCUAACCAGAAAGCCACGGCUAACUACGUG